AUUGAACGCUGGCGGCAGGCCUAACACAUGCAAGUCGAACGAGUGGCGGACGGGUGUGUAAUGUCUGGGAAACUGCCCGAUGGAGGGGGAUAACUACUGGAAACGGUAGCUAAUACCGCAUACCAUCGGAUGUGCCCAGAUGGGAUUAGCUAGUAGGUGGGGUAAUGGCUCACCUAGGCGACGAUCCCUAGCUGGUCGGAGAGGAUGACCAGCCACACGGGAACUGAGACAGGGUCAAGACUCCUACGGGAGGAAGAAGUGGGGAAGAUUGGACAAUGGGCGAAAGCCUGAUGCAGCCAUGCCGCGGGUAUGAAGAAGGCCUUCGGGUGGUAAAGUACUUUCAGCGGGGAGGCGUUACCCGCAGAAGAAGCACCGGCUAACUCCGUGCCAGCAGCCGCGGUAAUUC
Molecule: ribosomal RNA, 406 nt
Filed under: uncultured bacterium
Lineage: Bacteria
Description: partial 16S ribosomal RNA
Rfam family: Bacterial small subunit ribosomal RNA
Source: RNAcentral